RNAcentral lists this ribosomal RNA (1665 nucleotides) under human gut metagenome. RNAcentral's name for it is "bacterial LSU rRNA". It matches the Rfam family "Bacterial large subunit ribosomal RNA", at positions 608 to 2283 of the family's 2925-position model. The record is from RNAcentral.
UUGUAGAACGAGCCAACGAGUUACGGUAUGUAGCAAGGUUAAGUACUUAAGGUACGGAGCCGAAGGGAAACCGAGUCUUAAUAGGGCGACUAGUUGCAUGCCGUAGACCCGAAACCGGGUGACCUAUCCAUGGCCAGGUUGAAGCGAGGGUAAAACUUCGUGGAGGACCGAACCACGUUGCUGUUGAAAAAGCAUGGGAUGAGCUGUGGAUAGCGGAGAAAUUCCAAUCGAACUCGGAGAUAGCUGGUUCUCCCCGAAAUAGCUUUAGGGCUAGCGUCGGAUAUGUGUAGUGGAGGUAGAGCACUGAAUGGGCUAGGGGGCAUAUCGCUUACCGAACCUUAUCAAACUCCGAAUGCCAUAUACAUUAAGUCCGGCAGUCAGACUACGAAUGAUAAGAUCCGUGGUCAAAAGGGAAACAGCCCAGACCGUCAGCUAAGGUCCCAAAGUGUAAGUUAAGUGGAAAAGGAUGUGGGAUUUCUAAGACAACUAGGAUGUUGGCUUAGAAGCAGCCACUCAUUUAAAGAGUGCGUAAUAGCUCACUAGUCGAGAGAUCCUGCGCCGAAAAUGUACCGGGGCUAAACUUACCACCGAAGCUACGGAUUUGCAAGUAAUUGCAAGUGGUAGGGGAGCGUCGUAAUCGGGCUGAAGUCGUACCGUAAGGAGCGGUGGACUGAUUACGAGUGAGAAUGUUGGCAUUAGUAGCGAGAUGUAGGUGAGAAUCCUACAGGCCGAAUAUCUAAGGUUUCCUCAGGAAGGCUCGUCCGCUGAGGGUUAGUCGGGACCUAAGCCGAGGCCGAAAGGCGUAGGCGAUGGACAAUCGGUUGAUAUUCCGAUACCACUACCAUCGUUAUUAUCGAGGGUGUGACGGAGAAGGAUAGUGUGUGCUAGCGAUUGGAAAUGCUAGUCUAAGCGUUUAGGAAGUUACGGUAGGCAAAUCCGCUGUAACAAUUCUGAGGCGUGAUGGGGAAGGUCAUUAAGACCGAAGUACAUGAUUCCAUGCUUCCAAGAAAAGCAUCUAGAGAGAGAAGUAGUGCCCGUACCGCAAACCGACACAGGUAGAUGAGGAGAGAAUCCUAAGGCCGGCGGAAGAAUUGCAGUUAAGGAACUAGGCAAAUUGACCCCGUAAGUUCGGGAGAAGGGGUGCCUGCGAGAGCAGGCCGCAGAGAAUAGGCCCAAGCAACUGUUUAGCAAAAACACAGGUCUCUGCUAAAGCGCAAGCUGAUGUAUAGGGGCUGACGCCUGCCCGGUGCUGGAAGGUUAAGGGGAACACUUAGCGCAAGCGAAGGUGUGAACUUAAGCCCCAGUAAACGGCGGCCGUAACUAUAACGGUCCUAAGGUAGCGAAAUUCCUUGUCAGGUAAGUUCUGACCCGCACGAAUGGCGUAAUGACUUGGGCACUGUCUCAACUGCAAAUCCGGUGAAAUUGAAGUGCGAGUGAAGAUGCUCGCUACCCGCGAUUGGACGGAAAGACCCCGUAGAGCUUUACUGUAGCUUAGCAUUGAAUUCCGGUAUUGUCUGUACAGGAUAGGUGGGAGACUGGGAAACUAUGGCGUCAGCCUUAGUGGAGUCAACCUUGGGAUACCACCCUGACAGUACUGGGGUUCUAACAGGACGCCAUGAAUCUGGUGACUGGACAUUGUUAGGUGGGCAGUUUGACUGGGGCGGU